Alexandromys fortis (reed vole) is the source of this 3068-nucleotide long non-coding RNA. RefSeq lists it as uncharacterized. The record is from RefSeq and is a predicted model, not a curated record. The transcript is spliced from 3 exons. Lineage: Eukaryota; Metazoa; Chordata; Mammalia; Rodentia; Cricetidae.
AAGGUGCAAUGGGCUAGGCAGUAGCAAGAGUACAUCUAGCAGCCCUGUGUGCUUUUGAUGGGGAAGAAAAACGCAGGACGAGAACACUGGCAGUACAACUGCCGCAGUGUGGGAUUUUGCAGCUCUAGGUGCUCACCGGGCAGAGUCCCAUCCUAACCAUUUCAGGAUCGUGAUGAGUCCCCGAGCUCUGCCGACUGCCCACUGUGAAUGAAUAUUACUUCUGUCUGAGGAGACAGAGUCUCGGGCGUCACGGAACUUAAACUCAGCGAGGCCUGGUGAGUUGUUCCUCAGAGGUUUCUUCUUCCCUGGAGACUGACAGGGAAUGAUGCAUCCGCCAGAGCCAUCCGUCUCAGCUGGUACACAGGCAGAAUGGCCAGCAGCCUGUGCAGGGAAUGCCAAUGGAGAUACAGAUCCUAUCAGCUGCUUGUCUGCUUCCGUCGCACCUGAACCGCUGACUUCCGUGCGGCCUUCAUCUUCAAGAGUCAAAAUGACAUGAUGCUUCAGAAGUUUGGGUUGUCUGCAUGCUUAUCUCCUCUGAACCACAUGGAACAAGCCUCUAGCAAGGAUCAAAACAACAUGUGUAUGAUAGAUAUACACAGAUUUUUGACAAUGAAAGAUAAAAUGUUAGCAUAGUAUGUGUAUGUGGGGGGGGGUGUGACGCUGGGGCGUCUAAAGGGAAAUCUACAGUUAUAAAAGAGGACACUCUGCUAGUUGUGAUAGCACAAGCUUUUGGGAGAUGGUAAAAAAAAAAAAAAGGCAGAGGCUGGAGGGUACAGCCAGCCUGGGCUACACCUUUAGCUGAGGAUGUAGCUCAGUGGCUGAACGCUUGCCUAGAACAUGUGGAGCCCUGAGUACAGUCCUUAACAGCACCAUAAAACACUAAGAAGCAAAGAGGCCUCUCCCCUCCUCUUUGCCCACAGGACUCACUUGUCAUGGGUACAUUUCGGCCUUGGCCUGGUCUGUGAUGCUGUAUGACAUGGUCCAUCUUGUGUGUAAUAGCCUAGCUAGGAGUAGCUAGGACUUGCCAGCGUUACAGGCCACAAGAAGUGUAGAAUGACGGCUGUGGAGGUGACAUUUCAGAUGGUGAGAAGGUUCUUCCCAGGCGCCUUUCACUGCAGCUUUGAGGGUGUUUAGGGGAAUAUUGUAGCUUGUCCCUUCUUUCCUGCUUCUUCCUUCCUACUUCUUGUUCUUGAGAAAAUAGCUAAACAAUCUGUAGUCUCUUAUCCAAGGUAAAAUUUUGACUUAGCUGUUUUUGAUUUUUAGAGAAAAGGAUGGAUGUAAGGAACCUAAUACACAGGAGAGAAAAAUUUUAAAAGGCCAUCAGCAGCAGUCUGGGUGAGUGGACGUGUCUGUGUACAUGUUGUGUGUGUGUGUGUGUGUGUGUGUGUGUGUGUGUGUGUGUGUUCCAUAUGUCAGGUAUCCCUGCUGAUGCUUAGGUAUAGGGAAAACACGGGCCCAAGCAUCUCAACUCUACAAUUUAUGAAAAGCCCAGUGCCCUUCCCAAGGACAGCCUGAUUCUUUGUUAGAGAUGCUGCUUUGACUAAGAUGUUUUAUUGGUAGCAUCCCUGGCCCCACACGUGAUAAACCAGGCCCAUACCUUGCUAAACCACCCACGGAUUCAGUCACCAACCAAGGUGCCCUACCCACAGUCCUCAGAUAUGAAAUCAAUUUUAUUAAAGUGUUGUGAGAGGCAAUGGAAUGUUGUAUCACAGCAAUGAAUACAAUUGUGUGUAUUUAUGCAUGUGUUUGUGCAUGUAUGCCUGUGUGAGUACAUGUCCAUAUGAGUAUACAUACACACGUUUGUGUUUAUGCCUGCAAAAGCCAGAAGUCAACCUUAGGUGUCUUUUCUCAAUGGUCAUCCACCUUGUCUUUUGAUGCAGUGUCUCCCAUUGUUCUGGGGCUCACUGCGUGGCUAAACUAGCUGGCCAGCAAGCCUGGGAGAUCCUCCUGUCUGCUCCACUAGCCCUGUAAUUAUUAGUGUUCAUCCCCACUGCCAGUGUUGCUAUGUGGGUGCUGGGGAUUCAACUCAGGUCCUUGUGCUUGCCUGGCAAGCUCUUUACUGGCUGAGCCAUCACCCCAGCCUUGGUAAUUGCCUGCCUUAUGGCUGAAGAACAUUUCGUGGUGAAUAGAUACAGCUUUGAAGCGAAACAAUCCCCUUUCUUCUCACUAUCCUGCGGCCUCUCCUUUGGGCUGCUCUUUCAGCUGCUCCUUUUUCUCUUUCCCAUCCUCAUUCCAUUCCAGGAGCUUUUUAAGAAUACCUUUAGAUUUUUAAACAUGUUGGAGAGUUUUCUUAUAUCCUGGAGAACAACCAUGCAUCCCCAUCACAACCUGUGCAAUGGACUUACUCUACCCCUAUUCCUCACUCUGAGACUCAGCAACCAAUGCCAUCGCUAAUCUGAGACAGAGGAGGCCCUGACGCUCAGGUAUGACCGGGCCAACCCUGACUUCAUGGUGAUGGGCCGAAAAACUCAUAGCUGAGCCCUUCAGCUAUUAAUGUCACAGGUUAUUGCCAAAGUCUCUGUACGUAUUCACACUUUUCAAAGUUGUCCAACUAUAGUUUCUUCCAGGUAAAAUAAUUAAAUGAGGUAUCUCAACCUGCUGCAAAGGAUGACGGUCAGAGUUCCAUUACCAGAACCCACUUAAAAACAUAGCCCAUAUUCCUAAGGGUCAGGGACCAGCAAGGAAGAGGGAGCAGGACGAUUAUAAAAGCCAAAGGACCAGGGAGCUUCCCAAAGGAUUGGUGUCUUCUAGCUAUGACAGAGAAGGUACACCCAUGAAACCUCUGUGUGCUAAAUGAUAACAACACCGAGUGAUAUACCAAAGGGGAUGAGGGAAAUCUUACCCCUACAUAAAGAGCUAUAGGAAUUAACAACUGCACAGAGAGGAAGAAUUAGUCUUUCUCAAGGAUAAACUCCUAAUUGAUUAUCCAAUAGCAAACAGUCAGCUCUAAAAGUGUAUAUCAAGCAACACUAAGCAGACUCAGCAAGCAGAUGCUUGUAUAUUUAUGAACAUAUGUGUGUGUGUGUGAUAAUAAUUGAGGAGCAAAGGCCUCGAGUUUAAGAGGGAGC